Molecule: ribosomal RNA, 406 nt
Filed under: uncultured bacterium
Lineage: Bacteria
Description: partial 16S ribosomal RNA
Rfam family: Bacterial small subunit ribosomal RNA
Source: RNAcentral
AUUGAACGCUGGCGGCAGGCCUAACACAUGCAAGUCGAGCGAGCGGCGGACGGGUGAGUAAUGUCUGGGAAACUGCCUGAUGGAGGGGGAUAACUACUGGAAACGGUAGCUAAUACCGCAUACCAUCAGAUGUGCCCAGAUGGGAUUAGCUAGUAGGUGGGGUAACGGCUCACCUAGGCGACGAUCCCUAGCUGGUCUGAGAGGAUGACCAGCCACACGGAAAAUGAUACACGGUCCAGCCUCCUACGGGCGGCAUCGGUGGGGAAUAUUGCACAAUGGGCGCAAGCCUGAUGCAGCCAUGCCGCGUGUGUGAAGAAGGCCUGCGGGUUGUAAAGCACUUUCAGCGGGGAUGCGUUACCCGCAGAAGAAGCACCGGCUAACUCCGUGCCAGCAGCCGCGGUAAUUC